CACGUAGAGCGCAAGCGUUGUCCGGAAUUAUUGGGCGUAAAGAGCUCGUAGGCGGUCUGUUGCGUCCGCUGUGAAAACUCGGGGCUUAACCCCGAGCCUGCAGUGGAUACGGGCAGACUAGAGGUAGGUAGGGGAGAAUGGAAUUCCCGGUGUAGCGGUGAAAUGCGCAGAUAUCGGGAGGAACACCGGUGGCGAAGGCGGUUCUCUGGGCCUUACCUGACGCUGAGGAGCGAAAGCGUGGGGAGCGAACAGG
This 253-nucleotide ribosomal RNA is filed under the name uncultured bacterium. Its description in RNAcentral is "partial 16S ribosomal RNA". It matches the Rfam family "Bacterial small subunit ribosomal RNA", at positions 524 to 776 of the family's 1533-position model. The record is from RNAcentral.